GACGAACGCUGGCGGCGUGCUUAACACAUGCAAGUCGAACGGAAAGGCGCUGCUUUUGUGCGUUGCUCGAUUGGCGAACACGGGAGUAACACGUGAGUAUCCUGCCCCUGACUUUCGGAUAACUUCUGGAAACUCCGGCUCAUACCGGAUAGGAUAUCCUGCUGCAUGGUGUGGGUUGGUAAAUGUCGGCCGUUGGGGAUGGACUCGCGGGUUAUCCGCUUGAUAGGGGGGUAGUGGCUUACCAAGGGUGUGACGGGUAGGCGGCAUGAGAGGGUUAACGGCCACAUUGGGACUGAGAGACGGAGCAGAAGCCUACGGGAGGCAGCAGGGGAGAAUAUGGCACAGUGGGCGGAAGCCUGAUGUAGAAACGCCGCGUGCGGGAUGACGGCCUUCGGGUGAUAAACAGAUUUCGCAUGUGACGAAGAGUGAUUGACGGUAAUGGGUAAAGAAGCACCGGCUAACUACGUG
RNAcentral lists this ribosomal RNA (468 nucleotides) under uncultured bacterium. Its description in RNAcentral is "partial 16S ribosomal RNA". It matches the Rfam family "Bacterial small subunit ribosomal RNA", at positions 28 to 507 of the family's 1533-position model. The record is from RNAcentral.